GGGGGUAUAGCUCAAGUGGUAAAGUGCAUGCUUAACAUGCAUGAGGUCCUGGGUUAGAUUUCCAGUACAUCCU
RNAcentral lists this transfer RNA (73 nucleotides) under Camelus bactrianus (Bactrian camel). It matches the Rfam family "tRNA". Rfam says of the family: Transfer RNA (tRNA) molecules are approximately 80 nucleotides in length. Their secondary structure includes four short double-helical elements and three loops (D, anti-codon, and T loops). Further hydrogen bonds mediate the characteristic L-shaped molecular structure. tRNAs have two regions of fundamental functional importance: the anti-codon, which is responsible for specific mRNA codon recognition, and the 3' end, to which the tRNAs corresponding amino acid is attached (by aminoacyl-tRNA synthetases). tRNAs cope with the degeneracy of the genetic code in two manners: having more than one tRNA (with a specific anti-codon) for a particular amino acid; and 'wobble' base-pairing, i.e. permitting non-standard base-pairing at the 3rd anti-codon position. Lineage: Eukaryota; Metazoa; Chordata; Mammalia; Artiodactyla; Camelidae. The record is from Rfam by way of RNAcentral. RNAcentral also lists the same sequence under 2 other names.